GUGAGUAGUUCAGAGUUUGAUCCUGGCUCAGGACGAACGCUGGCGGCGUGCCUAACACAUGCAAGUCGAACGGGGUGAUUCCUUCGGGGAUCACUUAGUGGCGAACGGGUGAGUAACGCGUGAGAAACCUGCCUUUCAGUGGGGGACAACAGUUGGAAACGACUGCUAAUACCGCAUAAUGUUAUCGAGCGGCAUCGCUUGGUAACCAAAGCUUUAUGUGCUGAAAGAUGGUCUCGCGUCUGAUUAGCUAGUUGGUGAGGUAACGGCUCACCAAGGCGACGAUCAGUAGCCGGUCUGAGAGGAUGAACGGCCACAUUGGGACUGAGAUACGGCCCAG
This 337-nucleotide ribosomal RNA is filed under the name uncultured bacterium. RNAcentral's name for it is "bacterial SSU rRNA". It matches the Rfam family "Bacterial small subunit ribosomal RNA", at positions 1 to 334 of the family's 1533-position model. The record is from RNAcentral.